RNAcentral lists this long non-coding RNA (211 nucleotides) under Olea europaea (common olive). RNAcentral describes it as "long non-coding RNA (OEUR_LNC011543)". Lineage: Eukaryota; Viridiplantae; Streptophyta; Magnoliopsida; Lamiales; Oleaceae. The record is from RNAcentral.
UAUUUUUAAAAGAAGGUCCAACUAAUGAAAGUGGCUUGCUUGUUAUGCACGAAUUGGAUUAAGAAAUUACAAAAUUCUAAGAAAUUAUACUUUAAAUUCUAAAAACUAUAAUUUAAUAAAAUUUAUAUAAGAGAAUUUAUAAUUGAAUAAAAUAUUUUUUUGAUUAAAAAAAGUUCGGUUCGAUUUGGUUUUUUGCGAUUUUUGAAAAUUG